GGGACACGUGGUAUCCUGUCUGAAUAUGGGGGGACCAUCCUCCAAGGCUAAAUACUCCUGACUGACCGAUAGUGAACCAGUACCGUGAGGGAAAGGCGAAAAGAACCCCGGCGAGGGGAGUGAAAAAGAACCUGAAACCGUGUACGUACAAGCAGUGGGAGCACGCUUAGGCGUGUGACUGCGUACCUUUUGUAUAAUGGGUCAGCGACUUAUAUUCUGUAGCAAGGUUAACCGAAUAGGGGAGCCGAAGGGAAACCGAGUCUUAACUGGGCGUUAAGUUGCAGGGUAUAGACCCGAAACCCGGUGAUCUAGCCAUGGGCAGGUUGAAGGUUGGGUAACACUAACUGGAGGACCGAACCGACUAAUGUUGAAAAAUUAGCGGAUGACUUGUGGCUGGGGGUGAAAGGCCAAUCAAACCGGGAGAUAGCUGGUUCUCCCCGAAAGCUAUUUAGGUAGCGCCUCGUGAAUUCAUCUCCGGGGGUAGAGCACUGUUUCGGCAAGGGGGUCAUCCCGACUUACCAACCCGAUGCAAACUGCGAAUACCGGAGAAUGUUAUCACGGGAGACACACGGCGGGUGCUAACGUCCGUCGUGAAGAGGGAAACAACCCAGACCGCCAGCUAAGGUCCCAAAGUCAUGGUUAAGUGGGAAACGAUGUGGGAAGGCCCAGACAGCCAGGAUGUUGGCUUAGAAGCAGCCAUCAUUUAAAGAAAGCGUAAUAGCUCACUGGUCGAGUCGGCCUGCGCGGAAGAUGUAACGGGGCUAAACCAUGCACCGAAGCUGCGGCAGCGACACUAUGUGUUGUUGGGUAGGGGAGCGUUCUGUAAGCCUGUGAAGGUGUGCUGUGAGGCAUGCUGGAGGUAUCAGAAGUGCGAAUGCUGACAUAAGUAACGAUAAAGCGGGUGAAAAGCCCGCUCGCCGGAAGACCAAGGGUUCCUGUCCAACGUUAAUCGGGGCAGGGUGAGUCGACCCCUAAGGCGAGGCCGAAAGGCGUAGUCGAUGGGAAACAGGUUAAUAUUCCUGUACUUGGUGUUACUGCGAAGGGGGGACGGAGAAGGCUAUGUUGGCCGGGCGACGGUUGUCCCGGUUUAAGCG
This 1094-nucleotide ribosomal RNA is filed under the name Escherichia coli. Its description in RNAcentral is "partial 23S ribosomal RNA". It matches the Rfam family "Bacterial large subunit ribosomal RNA", at positions 419 to 1518 of the family's 2925-position model. The record is from RNAcentral. Lineage: Bacteria; Pseudomonadati; Pseudomonadota; Gammaproteobacteria; Enterobacterales; Enterobacteriaceae.